This 454-nucleotide ribosomal RNA is filed under the name uncultured bacterium. Its description in RNAcentral is "bacterial SSU rRNA". It matches the Rfam family "Bacterial small subunit ribosomal RNA", at positions 28 to 482 of the family's 1533-position model. The record is from RNAcentral.
GAUGAACGCUGGCGGCGUGCCUAACACAUGCAAGUCAACUUGACGGAAGGAGCAAUCUGACCGUAGAGUGGCGCAAAGGGUGCGUAACGCGUAAGUAACUUGCCCAAGGUAAGGAAUAACGUCGAGAAAUCGGCGCUAAUACCUCAUAAUGCAGCGGAUCCGCAUGGAUAUGUUGUUAAAGGUUUACCGCCUUGGGAUAGGCUUGCGUCUGAUUAGCUAGUUGGUGUGGUAACGGCACACCAAGGCUACGAUCAGUAACUGGUCUGAGAGGAUGAUCAGUCACACUGGAACUGAGACACGGUCCAGACUCCUACGGAGGCAGCAGUGAGGAAUAUUGGGCAAUGCUCGAAAGAGUGACCCAGCAACGCCGCGUGGAGGAUGAAGGUAUUCUAUAUCGUAAACUCCUGUGAGAGCAGACGAAAGACAGAUUAUUAAUCUGGAUGACUGUAUGCUC